This 397-nucleotide ribosomal RNA is filed under the name uncultured bacterium. RNAcentral's name for it is "partial 16S ribosomal RNA". It matches the Rfam family "Bacterial small subunit ribosomal RNA", at positions 523 to 918 of the family's 1533-position model. The record is from RNAcentral.
AUACGUAGGGGGCGAGCGUUGUCCGGAAUGAUUGGGCGUAAAGGGCGCGUAGGCGGCCCGGUAAGUCUGGAGUGAAAGUCCUGUUUUUAAGAUGGGAAUUGCUUUGGAUACUGUCGGGCUUGAGUGCAGGAGGGGUAAGUGGAAUUCCCUGUGUAGCGGUGAAAUGCGUAGAGAUUGGGAGGAACACCAGUGGCGAAGGCGACUUACUGGACUGUAACUGACGCUGAGGCGCGAAAGUGUGGGGAGCAAACAGGAUUAGAUACCCUGGUAGUCCACACUGUAAACGAUGAAUGCUAGGUGUAGGGGGUAUCGACCCCUUCUGUGCCGCAGUCAACACAAUAAGCAUUCCGCCUGGGGAGUACGGCCGCAAGGUUGAAACUCAAAGGAAUUGGCGGGG